RNAcentral lists this long non-coding RNA (545 nucleotides) under Sorghum bicolor (sorghum). RNAcentral describes it as "long non-coding RNA (SBIC_LNC008653)". Lineage: Eukaryota; Viridiplantae; Streptophyta; Magnoliopsida; Poales; Poaceae. The record is from RNAcentral.
CCCUUCUUGUCCUUCUUGGAGCGGUUAUAUGAUUCAUCAUCAUCACCAUCAUCCGUACUAGGUGAUAGCUCACUUGAUGAUGCAUCAUACACCUCCUUUUCUUUCUUCUUCUCUUCUACUUUCUUUGCUGCCCUUCUUUUGGCUCGCUCUUCUCUUUUGGCUUUUCUUUCUUCUUUUCUCUUCUUCUUGGCAGCUAGCUUUUCAUCUUCUUUUUUUUUGCUUUAGCUUCUCUUCUUGCUUGCCUCCUUUGCCUUCUCUCGGGGUCGGUGGUCAUACCACCAUCAGGCUUGAGGGUGGAGUUGCUGGCUGUUGAGACUGAUAGCUCACUGCUAUCACUCUCAACCAGCACAUCCUCAGCUUGUGCAGCUGGAAUGGACUUACCCUUCGCCCCCGAGCUUCCCACAACUUCCAUACUUCACGCGGUGAAGCGUAUACGAAGCAACCAAGCUCCGAUACCACUUGUAGGAUCUCUGGACGUACAGGAAGUGGCCUAGAGGGGGGUGAAUAGGCCUGUUCAAACUUUUUCAGCAGAGUUUAUCAGUCAC